This 483-nucleotide ribosomal RNA is filed under the name uncultured bacterium. Its description in RNAcentral is "partial 16S ribosomal RNA". It matches the Rfam family "Bacterial small subunit ribosomal RNA", at positions 30 to 507 of the family's 1533-position model. The record is from RNAcentral.
UUGCACGCUGGCGGCAGGCCUAACCCCUGCCAGUCGAGCGGAUGAAGGGAGCUUGCUCCUGGAUUCAGCGGCGGACGGGUGAGUAAUGCCUAGGAAUCUGCCUGGUAGUGGGGGAUAACGUCCGGAAACGGGCGCUAAUACCGCAUACGUCCUGAGGGAGAAAGUGGGGGAUCUUCGGACCUCACGCUAUCAGAUGAGCCUAGGUCGGAUUAGCUAGUUGGUGGGGUAAAGGCCUACCAAGGCGACGAUCCGUAACUGGUCUGAGAGGAUGAUCAGUCACACUGGAACUGAGACACGGUCCAGACUCCUACGGGAGGCAGCAGUGGGGAAUAUUGGACAAUGGGCGAAAGCCUGAUCCAGCCAUGCCGCGUGUGUGAAGAAGGUCUUCGGAUUGUAAAGCACUUUAAGUUGGGAGGAAGGGCAGUAAGUUAAUACCUUGCUGUUUUGACGUUACCAACAGAAUAAGCACCGGCUAACUUCGUG